Molecule: non-coding RNA, 29 nt
Filed under: Rattus norvegicus (Norway rat)
Lineage: Eukaryota; Metazoa; Chordata; Mammalia; Rodentia; Muridae
Source: RNAcentral
UAGACAGAUGCUCUGGAGAUGGAUGCUGA